This 246-nucleotide ribosomal RNA is filed under the name uncultured bacterium. RNAcentral's name for it is "partial 16S ribosomal RNA". It matches the Rfam family "Bacterial small subunit ribosomal RNA", at positions 796 to 1041 of the family's 1533-position model. RNAcentral also lists the same sequence under 1 other name. The record is from RNAcentral.
CUGGCAGUAAACGGUGCACGCUUGGUGUGAGGGGAAUCGACCCCCCUUGUGCCGGAGCAAACGCGUUAAGCGUGCCGCCUGGGAAGUACGGUCGCAAGACUAAAACUCAAAGAAAUUGACGGGGACCCGCACAAGCGGUGGAGUAUGUGGCUUAAUUCGAUGCAACGCGAAGAACCUUACCAAGGCUUGACAUGGAUUUCUAAGCACGUGAAAGCGUGUGACCCUUCGGGGAACUUCCACAGGUGC